UUGUUUCCAUGAGAACAGAUUGCUGAGCAAAUAAGCCAGCUUAUGUGUUACAAGACUGAUCAAUGAACUGGAUUUUUUUGAAGGCAAAAUGUCCUGCAUUGAAUGGGUAGACAGAUUACAAUAAACCAGGCAAGUUCAGGGAUACAUCAAGAGGGCUUUUGUUUCCUUUCAUUGCUUGUGAGGAUUGUAUUAUGACUUAACCAACAUCCUGGUAAGAAGUCAGAGUACAGGGCAGCCCUGGUAGUCUUAUUUGUCAGGAGUGCAUGUCCACUAUUUUUCUUGGCCUAAACGCAUUAUAUGUUGGAGAUGGAAUACUUUUAUGUGUUUAUAUUAAACUACACUAAUGAAUAGCUGGCUGGAACUUAACAUAAUUAUUCAAAACGCUGGAUGGACCUCUACUUUUGGAAAACAAUUAUUGCAUCUUAGAUGUGGGAAAAACUGAAUGACAAUUUUUUUCUCAAUGAAUGUUUUUUUUCCAGUUGCACUUGACUUUUUUCUUCUCUUGGAUGGAUGGUAUUUUGCCUUGUGGAUCAGCAGGAAAAUGUUUAAAGCUAAGAAUGUUUAUUUUCCAAGCCUUUUUUUGGACUUUCUCCCAGAAGCGAUCUCAUGAGAGUGACCAAGAACACACUGGACAGCAGGUGAGAGUUAAGCCUGAUCUGCUGUCAUACAUGACACCGGUUCUAUGAAGACAUGUGACAUUGAAAUGAAAACAUGAGACUGUGUGAAGGUCCUUUACCAGCUUCUGGAGAUAUGGCCCACCAUUGUCCAUGCAUUAUUUUCCAUCACCAGCUCUCUCAUCACUCCUGUGGUAGUCAUGUUCCCGAGAUUGACUGCAACUUUCCUGUGAUGAUUUGUUAAGAAGAGAAACACAUUAGAAGCAGAGUGAGAGAUGCAGGCUGAAGCUGUUAUAAAUUUGGACUUCUUACUCAACAAGUAGCCUUAAAGUAGUGCUAUCCAGGAUUGUAUUUCACAGUCCUUUCAUGCAUUUCAGGCUGUAUUUGCACAACGCUAGAAAUAUAUUUAUAAUGUGAACUGAGGAAGUUCAGGGGGUGUUAGACUGGCAACAGGUAACUUUUAGAGAUGAAAAGGGAUAGAGAUAAUGAUUGCACACCGCUAAUAUCAAGGAUUACAGUUCAAGAAAAAGAGAAGUAGGAGUGGGGAGAAAGAGAAAGGAAAGGAUUUAUUUCUGAAACAAACCAUAAAUAACUGACCUAAACAUUAAUCAGUCUUGGAUCCUCUCCAGGUGUUUUGAGAAGAUUCAGGUUUUCCUUUUCCUGAAGUUUUUUUUUAGGCUAGAAAGAUUUGAGUCUUAGAGAAGCAUUUCUGACAGGAAUACAUUUUGUGUUUGACAUCCAGAUAGCUUUAUUGACAGCUGGAGAUUCUGAAUCUAAAUUUUCAUUUUCAGUGUUAUGUAUGUUGUUUAGCUAGAGAGUGAAAAAGUAUGUUUUCAUAUUAUCUAUAUAUGGAUUAUUAUCUAUAUAUGGAUAUGCUGGUUAUACAGUGAAAGUGAUAGAACUGACUGUAAUUCUGAAAAAUAAGUGCUCUGAAAUGUCAUGCUGACAGAUGAAGUUAAGGUCUGCUCUCCUAAAAUCCAUGGCUGCUGUCCUUCAUUUUGCCUUGGUCCCUCCCCUUAGGAUCUUGAAAUCUACCACUGCGCUGAUCACUGCAUCAAAGCUGGUGUAGACUUUCACACCCACAAACAGCCCUUCCUUUUGCCAGACUAGCAGAGCACCUUCUCUCCUCCAUCACCUGUAUUGAAUCCUCUGUCACCUAUACCACAAAGACUAUCUCUGACUCCUGUAUCACAAAGUUGCUAUCAGUGGUCUCUAUAAAUCUCCUAGGUUUUUGUGCCCCAUUUUUUUUGUGGGCAUAUUCUGUAUUCCAGUGCAUAUGAGGUGGUUAAAUAUCACUGGUUAUUUACAGAGCACAGCAUGAAAAAUGAUACUGGAUACAAGUGAAUUCAAUGAUCAUGAUGAUUGCCGUUAUUUUCAUACAAAGUAAAGAGUGCACACAAAUUAUAAUGAUACUAGAUACUGUAUGAGUUUAUGGAAAAUUGAUUUCACUAAACUAGCUGUAUGUAAUUUUAUAAAAUGCUAAGUAUUAUAAAUGCUAAGCAUUAAAUUUGUUUAUAUUUUCUUAACAUAAUAGUAAUUAAAUAUAUCUAAUGAAUUUUGGUUACUGUACAAUGUUUUAAUUAAGAAUUGGAAAUGGUAAGAAAGAAAAAUAGCACAUAUGAAGUGGACUGAAUGUGGAUUGGAGAAUAUAUCCCAAAACAGAAUGAGCAAAGAGCCAUUAACUAUUUACAUCAAUGGGAAUGCUGUGGUCUUAUAUUCCUUUUCUUCAAAUCACUGACAUCAAACCUUUACUGAUAAAUGUGAAUGUGUUACAAAAUGGGAAGUUUCAUUAUUUAAGAGGACACAGUACUUGUGCAAUGCUAUU
Long non-coding RNA from Motacilla alba alba, 2439 nucleotides. RefSeq lists it as uncharacterized. The record is from RefSeq and is a predicted model, not a curated record. Lineage: Eukaryota; Metazoa; Chordata; Aves; Passeriformes; Motacillidae. The transcript has 3 exons.